CUUCCCCUUCACCUCUCCGGCAGCAGCUAGGUCGUGGCUGCCGCCACCGUGCCUCGGCUCACCGCCCCCAUCAACUCUUCAAACCCUAUCUUCUAGAUCUCUCUAUAUCUCGGGGCUGCGUCUCUCUCCUUCUUCUUCACCGCCUUCCUCUGAGCACGACGCGCUCCGCUCCGCUCCCAGUCGACGCGCUCCGCUCUGCACCACAGGAACUCGCUCUCGCCCUACCUCUCUCUGCGACGGCGCCACUUCUUUUCCCCGGCGAGGAACGCCGCUGCCGCCGACUACCUCUCUCUGCGACG
This 299-nucleotide long non-coding RNA is filed under the name Salvia miltiorrhiza (redroot sage). Its description in RNAcentral is "long non-coding RNA (SMIL_LNC000318)". Lineage: Eukaryota; Viridiplantae; Streptophyta; Magnoliopsida; Lamiales; Lamiaceae. The record is from RNAcentral.